GAUUUCUGGUACUGCGCGCCUCGGCGACGGUCGUCAGAUCGCCUGUCCGAGUCCGCGUGCAUGCCAUCCUGCUAGUAAACUAGACGCACUUAACUGGGCGGCUAGUGUUCUAGCUCAUUUACUUUGAAAAAAUUAGAGUGUUUAAAGCAGGUUUGCGCCUUGAAUACAUUAGCAUGGAAUAAUAAUUUAGGACUUCGGUUCUAUUUUGUUGGUUUCUAGGACUGAAGUAAUGAUUGAUAGGGAUAGUUGGGGGUGCUAGUAUUCAGCGGCCAGAGGUGAAAUUCUCGGAUUCGCUGAAGACUAACUUAUGCGAAAGCAUU
This 320-nucleotide ribosomal RNA is filed under the name uncultured Paracercomonas. Its description in RNAcentral is "SSU rRNA". The stretch from base 102 to 320 matches the Rfam family "Eukaryotic small subunit ribosomal RNA", at positions 735 to 955 of the family's 1831-position model. Lineage: Eukaryota; Cercozoa; Cercomonadida; Cercomonadidae. The record is from RNAcentral.